Molecule: non-coding RNA, 26 nt
Filed under: Homo sapiens (human)
Lineage: Eukaryota; Metazoa; Chordata; Mammalia; Primates; Hominidae
Source: RNAcentral
UCUAUAAUUGGGACACGUAUCUAGAC